Non-coding RNA from Cinara cedri, 212 nucleotides. NCBI's taxonomy places the organism in Eukaryota, Metazoa, Arthropoda, Insecta, Hemiptera, Aphididae. The record is from the annotation of a GenBank genome assembly.
UAAGAUCAUACUUCACAGGAUCAUUUCUGUAGUAUGCAUCGUCCUCUCCAGGUGCAAAUCUGGAGUUGCCAUCAGCCACGAUGAUGAAACUUGUCCAUUUACCAGAGCGUGAGACAGCUGGUAGCAUGUUGAUUUACUUCGACGGUGGCUAUUCAGCGACGAUGAUCGCGACUGGGUCUCGAACCCGGGGGUACAUGGACAAUCUGAGUGGU